UCGACUGCUGGUUAGUUGACGUAAAUAAAUAAAUAAAUCAUGGGACAUUUACAUUGGAGCCCUAUCAUAACCUAAGUCAACUUGAGUGUGUAAAUUUACAUUAUCAACCCACUCAAGUUUUGACUGAAUUGCCACUCAUCAGCGAUCGUAACGCUUUCACAUGCUCGUAAGCUUUAACACGUGGGCCCAAAAUGUCUCCACCAGUUAAAACGCAGCAUUUACUUCUUAGACAACAUUGGAAUCAACAGCAAUCUAAUAUUGAAAGUUUAAGAGCUUUAAUCGCUCUUGUAAAUAAACCUAUUAUCUUAGAUUGUCAGUCUCAA
Long non-coding RNA from Drosophila willistoni, 323 nucleotides. RefSeq lists it as uncharacterized. NCBI's taxonomy places the organism in Eukaryota, Metazoa, Arthropoda, Insecta, Diptera, Drosophilidae. The record is from RefSeq and is a predicted model, not a curated record. The transcript has 2 exons.